Molecule: ribosomal RNA, 58 nt
Filed under: Sporobolus alterniflorus (smooth cordgrass)
Lineage: Eukaryota; Viridiplantae; Streptophyta; Magnoliopsida; Poales; Poaceae
Description: partial 18S ribosomal RNA
Rfam family: Eukaryotic small subunit ribosomal RNA
Source: RNAcentral
UGGAAGUAAAAAGUCGUAACAAGGUCUCCGUUGGUGAACCAGCGGAGGGAUCAUUAAA